UGGGGAAUAUUGCGCAAUGGGGGAAACCCUGACGCAGCAACGCCGCGUGAAGGAUGAAGGCCUUCGGGUCGUAAACUUCUAUCGAUGGGGAAGAAUAAAUGACGGUACCCAAGUAAGAAGCCCCGGCUAACUACGUGCCAGCAGCCGCGGUAAAACGUAGGGGGCAAGCGUUAUCCGGAAUUACUGGGUGUAAAGGGUGAGUAGGCGGUUUGGUAAGUCAUGUGUGAAAUGCCGCGGCUUAACUGCGGAGCUGCACAAGAAACUACUGAACUAGAGUACAGGAGAGGUAAGCGGAAUUCCUAGUGUAGCGGUGAAAUGCGUAGAUAUUAGGAAGAACACCAGUGGCGAAGGCGGCUUACUGGACUGAAACUGACGCUGAGUCACGAAAGCGUGGGGAGCGAACA
Molecule: ribosomal RNA, 404 nt
Filed under: uncultured Eubacteriales bacterium
Lineage: Bacteria; Bacillati; Bacillota; Clostridia; Eubacteriales
Description: uncultured Clostridiales bacterium partial 16S ribosomal RNA
Rfam family: Bacterial small subunit ribosomal RNA
Source: RNAcentral